This 386-nucleotide ribosomal RNA is filed under the name Brachyseps macrocercus (Black-striped skink). Its description in RNAcentral is "partial 12S ribosomal RNA". It matches the Rfam family "Bacterial small subunit ribosomal RNA", at positions 854 to 1409 of the family's 1533-position model. Lineage: Eukaryota; Metazoa; Chordata; Lepidosauria; Squamata; Scincidae. The record is from RNAcentral.
CAAACACAAUAUUGUCCGCCAGAGAACUACAAGCGAAAAACUAGAAACUCCAAGGACUUGGCGGUGCUCCACACCAACCUAGAGGAGCCUGUCCUAUAAUCGAUACCCCACGUUAAACCUUACCACCUUUUGCCCCUCAGCCUAUAUACCGCCGUCGUCAGCCUACCUUAUGAAAGAAAAAUAGUAAGCAAAACAGUUAGCAACUAACACGUCAGGUCAAGGUGUAGCAUAUAAGAUGGAAGAGAUGGGCUACAUUUUCUACCAUAGAACACACGAAUGACACAAUGAAACACGUACCUGAAGGUGGAUUUAGUAGUAAGAUAAACAAGCAACAUUAUCUUAAACCCGCUCUGGAGCGCGCACACACCGCCCGUCACCCUCAUCAC